UGGCUCAGUGGUAGAGUGCUUGCUUUGCAUGCAUGAGGUCCUGGGUUUGAUUCCCCAG
This 58-nucleotide transfer RNA is filed under the name Dipodomys ordii (Ord's kangaroo rat). It matches the Rfam family "tRNA", at positions 8 to 63 of the family's 71-position model. Rfam says of the family: Transfer RNA (tRNA) molecules are approximately 80 nucleotides in length. Lineage: Eukaryota; Metazoa; Chordata; Mammalia; Rodentia; Heteromyidae. The record is from Rfam by way of RNAcentral.